AUGACUCUCACUUCAUGCUAGCUCUGUGCCUGGAGAAAAUUUUCUGAGCACAAAGAGGUAGAAUGCAACCAGAAAGAAAACUGUGGCCCUACUGAACUGAGGAAGAAGAGGUCAGAGUUCUGGAAUCAGAAAGAGCAAGUAGGAAGGGUGCUGCACCUAAGGACUCUAGAUCCUUGGUUUGGGACUGGGCCUCACACAUGUAAUGUGAGGCUCUUGAGACUGAGGAGGACUGCUGUUCGGUCAGGAUCAGAAGGAAUAUGCUAGAGUUCAAGCCACCAUGCAAGAUCCGUGAGCAACUCCUUAGGUGAAUUGUGAAAGACAGCCAGGUAUACUCUUUGCUAUUGCAAAUGGUUUGAUCACGACCCUCAUUCUUUCGGCCUGUAACAUCAUAGGACCAAGAUUUAUGCUUAGAAAAUUCCUUCCAGUCUUGACGAUUCCUUCAACCUACACAGUGACCAACCUCAUCUCCUCCAAAUUUCAGGUUGUGCUGCAGCCUAAUCAAUCAGCAAUCUGAAUAAAAAUAAAACUGGAAAGUUAUCCUUUCCAAUCACCA
Molecule: long non-coding RNA, 553 nt
Filed under: Homo sapiens (human)
Lineage: Eukaryota; Metazoa; Chordata; Mammalia; Primates; Hominidae
Description: long non-coding RNA NONHSAT209808.1
Source: RNAcentral